This 84-nucleotide transfer RNA is filed under the name Clostridiales bacterium. Its description in RNAcentral is "tRNA-Leu". It matches the Rfam family "tRNA". From Rfam's summary of the family: Transfer RNA (tRNA) molecules are approximately 80 nucleotides in length. The record is from RNAcentral. Lineage: Bacteria; Bacillati; Bacillota; Clostridia; Eubacteriales. RNAcentral also lists the same sequence under 1 other name.
GCGGAAGUGGCGGAAUCGGUAGACGCGUAAGCCUCAGGAGUUUAUGGCCGCAAGGCCGUGAGGGUUCGAGUCCCUCCUUCCGCA